CGGUUGUAGUCAAUCAUUGGAUAGCUCAAAAGAGUUCGGUAAACUUGGCCCUGGUCAAGUGGUCCUAGGCCUCAGGUCUUUCGGUACGUUUUAUAAAAGGUCUCCCUCUCAUCAUUCAUACAAAAGAAAAGAAGACACGAGUUGGUGAUCUAAUUUUAAAAAGAUGACUUAUUUUUGCUGGACAUUCCUCAAGGCCUUUUCUACCAACGACCUCAAUUGUGAGGGAUUUAGUUCGUGUAACUGCUCUGAUAUCAUCUAUGGCAUCCCAAAUGCUAAUUAAGGCAUAAAGGUGCUAGAUAUAGAAAUAGAUUACGAGUGCAUGAUAAAAUUGUAUACAGCGGAGUAAAUUAUUACAAA
RNAcentral lists this long non-coding RNA (357 nucleotides) under Carica papaya (papaya). Its description in RNAcentral is "long non-coding RNA (CPAP_LNC010725)". Lineage: Eukaryota; Viridiplantae; Streptophyta; Magnoliopsida; Brassicales; Caricaceae. The record is from RNAcentral.